UACGUAGGCAGCAAGCGUUGUUCGGAGUUACUGGGCGUAAAGAGUGUGUAGGCGGUUCGCUAAGUUUGGUGUGAAAUCUCCCGGCUUAACUGGGAGGGUGCGCCGAAAACUGGCGGGCUAGAGUGUGGGAGAGGGAAGCGGAAUUCCUGGUGUAGCGGUGAAAUGCGUAGAUAUCAGGAGGAACACCUGUGGUGUAGACGGCUUCCUGGACCACAACUGACGCUGAGACACGAAAGCGUGGGGAGCAAACAGG
Molecule: ribosomal RNA, 253 nt
Filed under: uncultured bacterium
Lineage: Bacteria
Description: partial 16S ribosomal RNA
Rfam family: Bacterial small subunit ribosomal RNA
Source: RNAcentral